GGAACAGGAGCUAAUACCGGAUAAUAUAUUGAACCGCAUGGUUCAAUAGUGAAAGACGGUUUUGCUGUCACUUAUAGAUGGAUCCGCGCCGCAUUAGCUAGUUGGUAAGGUAACGGCUUACCAAGGCAACGAUGCGUAGCCGACCUGAGAGGGUGAUCGGCCACACUGGAACUGAGACACGGUCCAG
Molecule: ribosomal RNA, 187 nt
Filed under: uncultured Staphylococcus sp.
Lineage: Bacteria; Bacillati; Bacillota; Bacilli; Caryophanales; Staphylococcaceae
Description: partial 16S ribosomal RNA
Rfam family: Bacterial small subunit ribosomal RNA
Source: RNAcentral